Molecule: long non-coding RNA, 1735 nt
Organism: Oryzias sinensis (Chinese medaka)
Lineage: Eukaryota; Metazoa; Chordata; Actinopteri; Beloniformes; Adrianichthyidae
Source: Ensembl
UAGGUCAUUGUGUUUUACCAUGCAUCCACUUCAUUUUUGAGAAAAUAGGAGUGUCCAAUGUAACUAAAAGUCGUCCUGAAGGCAUAAACCAAUCAGAAGAGAGAACAGAAUUGUUUUAAUUAUUAAAUAACUGACAAAUGCAUGUAUAUUUAGAGAUAAAGUUUUACUUAAUGGACAAUGUAAACUAUGGUGGCCCUGAAAUGGAAAUUACACCAACAAAUCACUAAAUGCAAAAACAUAUUAAACAUCACAAUUAAAAAAGCAAAACAAGUACUAUAAAAACAUUACAUCUUAAAAAUCAGCCAAAUAAAAUUAAAUGAAAUAAAAUUGAAAAAAUUUGAAAAACGUAAGUGAAAUUCCAGAAAUCAAAAUGAAAUGUUAAAAAAUGAAACACAAUAAUAAACAGUAAAAGGUAGGUAAAGGGUAGAACCCCCGGGUGGUGGUGGGCGGCUUUUCUGGGGCUGGGGGUGCUGUCCGGGGGCGGGGUCACGGACUGGGCCACCUGGUGGGGGGAAAACUACAAUUCCCUUCAUUGAUGCUAUGCUUCAUUGAGUAAAAGAUGGAGAAAAAAAACUAUUUCAGCUUCACCUACAAUAUGUUAAAAUGACAGCUGCACACAUAAUUUCUUUGUGUUAUAUUUUACUAUUGAUCAAAAUAAACAGAAGUGGUGGUAUAAAACAUUUUUAUGUGGUUUUAUCCACACUAACAGCACUAAUGUCCCUUUAAAAACACACUGCAAACUCAUUCAUAAAGGUCAUGUUGGUUCCUUGAUGCUGCAACUGUGGACUCAAUUCAAGCCAAUCUAUAUAGUGUGUAGGAUUCUGACUUUUCCUUCCUUAGUCCAAUGAACUGAGGAAUUUCUAUUAAAGAAAAACAGAGACAUUUACCAAAAAGACUACAUGUUUUAUUACUGCUUGUAGCUUUUUUGUUCAAAUGUGAUCUGUACGUUUUCUCAGUCACAUUUAGCUUUAAGGUUUCAUAUGUUCCAUGCUGCAAUACAUUGUUCUUUUUUACUUGUGUGCGUUUGUACCUGCAGGCGGAGAACUCUGCUUUGUCACUGGAAAAUGACAACCAGAGAAAACAGUAUGAACGCUGUUUGGAUGAGGUUGCUAACCAGGUGGUCCAGGCACUCCUCACACAAAAGGUUUGUUUUUCUUCUGAAUCAAGGCAGAAUCAUAAAUGUAGUCAGUUAGUUAAGUUUUCUUCAAGCUUGAGAGCUAUCAUAUAAAUAAAUUUGGUAAUAUCUUACUGUGGAAGCAACAAGUAGGAACCCGCUUUCCUGAAAAGUUGAUGUUUUCUAAAAUACGUUAAAACCAAAGUCUGAUGUUUUUAUGUUAACCAAUUACACGCGCACUCCAUACCCAGGAAAACUGUUUGGUGUAAACGCCUGCCUUGCAAACCAUCAUGUCACUGUAAUGGAGUUAUAAAAAGAAACCUGCUGAGAGAACCUUAAAAUAUACACUCACUGGCCACUUUACUAGGUAAACCUUGCUAGUAUGGGGCUGGACCCCAUUUUGCCUUCUGAACUGCCUUGAUCCUUGGUAGCAUAGAUUCAACAAGGUACUGGAAACAUUCCUCAGAGAGUUUGGUCCAAGUUGACAUGAUAGCAUCACGCAGUUGCUGCAGAUUUGUCAGCUUCACAUCCAUGAUGCCAAUCUCCCAUUCCACCACAUCCCAGCUCUAUUGGUUAGAGAUCUGGUAACCAUGGAGGUUAUUUGAGUUCAGUGAAAUCAGU